RNAcentral lists this ribosomal RNA (333 nucleotides) under Oenopia conglobata. RNAcentral describes it as "partial 12S ribosomal RNA". The record is from RNAcentral. Lineage: Eukaryota; Metazoa; Arthropoda; Insecta; Coleoptera; Coccinellidae.
UUAGAUACCCUAUUAUUUUAAACUUAAAUUAAUAAGCUAAGUGAUUAAUAGUUAAGUUCUUUAAAGCUAAACAAUUUGGCGGUAUUUUAAACUAUUCAGAGGAACCUGUCCUAUAAUCGAUAUUCCACGAUUGUAUCUACUUUAAUUAUAAAUUUUUAUAUCAUCGUUUUUAAAUAUUUUAUAAGAAUUUAAUAUUUAUAAUUUCUUUAUAAAGAAAUAAAUCAGAUCAAGGUGAAGUUUAUAUGAAAGAAGAGAUGGGUUACAAUUAAUUUUAUUAAUGGAUUAAAAAUUUAAAUAUUUUUUUGAAAUUGGAUUUGAAAGUAAUUAAAUUAC